GGGGAAUAUUGGACAAUGGGCGCAAGCCUGAUCCAGCCAUGCCGCGUGAGUGAUGAAGGCCUUAGGGUUGUAAAGCUCUUUCGCCGGUGAAGAUAAUGACGAUAACCGGAGAAGAAGCCCCGACUAACUUCGUGCCAGCAGCCGCGGUAAUACGAAGGGGGCUAGCGUUGCCCGGAAUUACUGGGCGUAAAGCGCACGUAGGCGGUUUCUUAAGUCGGGGGUGAAAUCCUGGAGCUCAACUCCAGAACUGCCUUCGAUACUGGGAAACUUGAGUGCGGGGGAGGUGAUGGGAACUGCGGGUGUAGAGGUGAAAUUCGUAGAUAUUGGCAAGAACACCAGUGGCGAAGGCGGCUCACUGGCCCGAUACUGACGCUGAGGUGCGAAAGCGUGGG
RNAcentral lists this ribosomal RNA (392 nucleotides) under uncultured bacterium. RNAcentral describes it as "bacterial SSU rRNA". It matches the Rfam family "Bacterial small subunit ribosomal RNA", at positions 356 to 765 of the family's 1533-position model. The record is from RNAcentral.